RNAcentral lists this ribosomal RNA (473 nucleotides) under uncultured bacterium. Its description in RNAcentral is "bacterial SSU rRNA". It matches the Rfam family "Bacterial small subunit ribosomal RNA", at positions 355 to 825 of the family's 1533-position model. The record is from RNAcentral.
UGGGGAAUUGUUCACAAUGGGCGCAAGCCUGAUGACGCAACGCCGCGUGGGGGAUGAAGGUCUUCGGAUCGUAAACCCCUGUCGAAUGGGACGAAAGACUCGCGAGUGAAUACUUCGCGAGAGUGACGGUACCGUUAAAGGAAGCCACGGCUAACUCUGUGCCAGCAGCCACGGUAAUACGUAGGGUGCAAGCGUUAAUCGGAAUUACUGGGCGUAAAGCGUGCGCAGGCGGUUAUGCAAGACAGAUGUGAAAUCCCCGGGCUCAACCUGGGAACUGCAUUGGAAACGGUAUAGCUAGAGUAUGGGAGAGGGAAGUGGAAUCUCCGGUGUAGCGGUGAAAUGCGUAGAGAUCGGAAAGAACACUCGUGGCGAAGGCGGCUUUCUGGCCCAUAACUGACGCUGAGGUGCGAAAGCAUGGGGAGCAAACAGGAUUAGAUACCCUCGUAGUCCCUGAGCGGGCUGGCAAGGCGCAU